RNAcentral lists this ribosomal RNA (1326 nucleotides) under Escherichia coli. RNAcentral's name for it is "partial 23S ribosomal RNA". It matches the Rfam family "Bacterial large subunit ribosomal RNA", at positions 418 to 1746 of the family's 2925-position model. Lineage: Bacteria; Pseudomonadati; Pseudomonadota; Gammaproteobacteria; Enterobacterales; Enterobacteriaceae. The record is from RNAcentral.
CGGGACACGUGGUAUCCUGUCUGAAUAUGGGGGGACCAUCCUCCAAGGCUAAAUACUCCUGACUGACCGAUAGUGAACCAGUACCGUGAGGGAAAGGCGAAAAGAACCCCGGCGAGGGGAGUGAAAAAGAACCUGAAACCGUGUACGUACAAGCAGUGGGAGCACGCUUCGGCGUGUGACUGCGUACCUUUUGUAUAAUGGGUCAGCGACUUAUAUUCUGUAGCAAGGUUAACCGAAUAGGGGAGCCGAAGGGAAACCGAGUCUUAACUGGGCGUUAAGUUGCAGGGUAUAGACCCGAAACCCGGUGAUCUAGCCAUGGGCAGGUUGAAGGUUGGGUAACACUAACUGGAGGACCGAACCGACUAAUGUUGAAAAAUUAGCGGAUGACUUGUGGCUGGGGGUGAAAGGCCAAUCAAACCGGGAGAUAGCUGGUUCUCCCCGAAAGCUAUUUAGGUAGCGCCUCGUGAAUUCAUCUCCGGGGGUAGAGCACUGUUUCGGCAAGGGGGUCAUCCCGACUUACCAACCCGAUGCAAACUGCGAAUACCGGAGAAUGUUAUCACGGGAGACACACGGCGGGUGCUAACGUCCGUCGUGAAGAGGGAAACAACCCAGACCGCCAGCUAAGGUCCCAAAGUCAUGGUUAAGUGGGAAACGAUGUGGGAAGGCCCAGACAGCCAGGAUGUUGGCUUAGAAGCAGCCAUCAUUUAAAGAAAGCGUAAUAGCUCACUGGUCGAGUCGGCCUGCGCGGAAGAUGUAACGGGGCUAAACCAUGCACCGAAGCUGCGGCAGCGACGCUUAUGCGUUGUUGGGUAGGGGAGCGUUCUGUAAGCCUGUGAAGGUGUGCUGUGAGGCAUGCUGGAGGUAUCAGAAGUGCGAAUGCUGACAUAAGUAACGAUAAAGCGGGUGAAAAGCCCGCUCGCCGGAAGACCAAGGGUUCCUGUCCAACGUUAAUCGGGGCAGGGUGAGUCGACCCCUAAGGCGAGGCCGAAAGGCGUAGUCGAUGGGAAACAGGUUAAUAUUCCUGUACUUGGUGUUACUGCGAAGGGGGGACGGAGAAGGCUAUGUUGGCCGGGCGACGGUUGUCCCGGUUUAAGCGUGUAGGCUGGUUUUCCAGGCAAAUCCGGAAAAUCAAGGCUGAGGCGUGAUGACGAGGCACUACGGUGCUGAAGCAACAAAUGCCCUGCUUCCAGGAAAAGCCUCUAAGCAUCAGGUAACAUCAAAUCGUACCCCAAACCGACACAGGUGGUCAGGUAGAGAAUACCAAGGCGCUUGAGAGAACUCGGGUGAAGGAACUAGGCAAAAUGGUGCCGUAACUUCGGGAGAAGG